This 269-nucleotide ribosomal RNA is filed under the name uncultured prokaryote. RNAcentral describes it as "partial 16S ribosomal RNA". It matches the Rfam family "Bacterial small subunit ribosomal RNA", at positions 524 to 792 of the family's 1533-position model. The record is from RNAcentral.
UACGUAGGUGGCGAGCGUUGUCCGGAUUUACUGGGCGUAAAGGGAGCGCAGGCGGACUUUUAAGUGAGAUGUGAAAUACCCGGGCUCAACUUGGGUGCUGCAUUUCAAACUGGAAGUCUAGAGUGCAGGAGAGGAGAAUGGAAUUCCUAGUGUAGCGGUGAAAUGCGUAGAGAUUAGGAAGAACACCAGUGGUGAAGGCGAUUCUCUGGGCUGUAACUGACGCUGAGGCUCGAAAGCGUGGGGAGCAAACAGGAUUAGAUACCCCGGUA